Non-coding RNA from Musa acuminata subsp. malaccensis (wild Malaysian banana), 1330 nucleotides. The record is from RefSeq and is a predicted model, not a curated record. NCBI's taxonomy places the organism in Eukaryota, Viridiplantae, Streptophyta, Magnoliopsida, Zingiberales, Musaceae.
AAAGGUGAGGCAGUCAAAUCCUUCCUUCGCCUUCUCCUCCCAUACUCCUAUCUGUCUGAAAUCCAAUCCUCAGUCUUUACAGUCAGAAUCCAUCUUACGGAUGCUUGUUCUCUUCCCAUCUCCUUUCUCUACAAAUCAGGGAUCUGUGUCAUACUCCCACAAACCUUUUCUCUAGUGUUCACUCAUCACCUGUGUCGUCCUUCUUCUUCUGAUCUCUUCCCCCUUUUUCUCUUCAUGUACCGGUUCACCUCUCAGAUCUUCCUCUCUCUAUAUCCUCCGAUGGAAGUUGCCGGAAGAAGUGCCCAAGGGAAUGAGUGAAGCUGCCAGCAUGAUCUAGCUCAAGGAUAAAAGCUAGAUUUUGAUCAUAAACCCUCUUGUAGCUUUGAAGGAACUUGGCCAUAAACAUGAAUCCUGGAGAUGCCAAAGAAUGAAAACAUGAUUAAAGGACAUUAAUCCUGGCUAGGUCAUGCUCUGGCAGCUUCAUUUCUUCCCUUGCUGGGCGCAAUAGAUGCACCACCACCACCAUGACAGGGAAGACGAGAAAGGAGAAUAGCAGUGUAAGUAUGCCUUUUCUUAUGCUGAUUGACAUGGCCAUUCUUCUUGUCCAUUGCAUCCAUGAAUUCUCUUAUCAGUUGGUACAGUACUACCCCAUGGCCAGCAGGAUCCACUUUACUUGCCUUUGAUUCUAGUUUUAUCUUUGUCUGCUGAAGGGUGCUAUUGGGGAACAAAGUACCCCGGUAUGUGAGUGUGGGCUCAAAUGUUUGUGCUGUUUACAUCAAAUCCAUGACAGUAGGACAGUAAUCCAGCUAUAUCUCCAUGGAUUCUUUAUUCCUAUCUUUCCUUGUACACUUGUGUGUGCAAGUUAAACAAGUUACAUGAUCUGAUAUCAGUGAAGCUUCACCUCCUCCAUGUUGAAUUUACAGUAGCUUACAGAAGAUGGAGGUGAAUCAUGUAUCACGUGCACUUCAAAUCAACAUCCUCCAGGUCCAGUAUGUCUGCUUCCAUUGUGCAUUGAGGUGACACAUCUCAAGUGCUUGCAAUUGGUCUGCUAUGAUCGGGUCAUCAUCAGCAUGAUAAAAAGGUUGCAGUCUCAGCUACUUCAGGACUUUGGCCUAAUCUGGCUCAAGCACUUGCCUUUGCUGUGGAUUGAUUGAUGUUAAAGAGCAUCCAUGUAAAACAAUAUGUACAUUCUAUUCAUGUUGUUUUGCAAGAGCGGGAACAUAGAGGAUCAGUCUUUAGAUUUGCAUGACUUGAAUCCAGCCUUGAAGUCCACAAGAGGCAUUCAGAAUCUUGAUGAAAUAAACUCACAUCUAUAAGCAUUUAUCACCUA